This 510-nucleotide ribosomal RNA is filed under the name Triticum aestivum (bread wheat). RNAcentral's name for it is "partial small subunit ribosomal RNA". Lineage: Eukaryota; Viridiplantae; Streptophyta; Magnoliopsida; Poales; Poaceae. The record is from RNAcentral.
AUGGAGAUCGACGGCGACCUCCUCGUCACCAGGGCCGAGAUCACGAACGCCGCGGCGGCCACGUUCGCGGACUCAACCGUGAUUCCCGACAGGUACGCCCGGCCGGACGAGGUCGGGGACGGGGUCGUGGUGGGCGACGACGAGAGCCACGAGCUGCCGCUCGUAGACAUGGCGAGGCUGCUCGACUCGGAGUCCUCGGAGGCGGAGACCGCCAAGCUUGGCUCUGCGUGUCGAGACUUGGGCUUCUUCCAGCUAACAAACCAUGGACUUGACGAAUCGGUUGUGCAAGACAUGAAGAAUAACGCUAUGCAGUUCUUCCGCUUGCCACUGGAGAAGAAGAACGCGGUGGGCAUCCAGGCCGGCGGCUUGGGAGGGUUUGGGCACCACUUCACCGGACCAUCCCGGGACAAGUUGGACUGGGCAGAGAGCCUGAUACUCACGACGCAGGAGAACGAGCAAACGAACGUGGAGUUCUGGCCAGCCGAUCCGCCAACAUUUAGGCAUUCCUAA